GAUGAAUAACGCAGCGAAAUGCGAUAAGUAAUGCGAAUUGCAGAAUUCAGUGAGUCAUCGAAUCUUUGAACGCACAUUGCGCCCUGUGGUAUUCCGCAGGGCAUGCCUGUUCGAGCGUCAUUUCAACCCUCAAGCUCUGCUUGGUGUUGGGCCCUGCCCGCUGCGGCCGGCCCUAAAGACAGUGGCGGUGCCGCCUGGCCCUGAGCGUAGUACAUCUCUCGCUCCAGUGCCCGGUGGUAGCCUGCCAGAACCCCAACUCUCGUGGUUGACCUCGGAUCAGGUAGGGAUACCCGCUGAACUUAAGCAUAUCAAUAAGCGGAGGA
RNAcentral lists this unclassified non-coding RNA (323 nucleotides) under soil metagenome. RNAcentral's name for it is "partial contains 5.8S ribosomal RNA, internal transcribed spacer 2, and large subunit ribosomal RNA". The stretch from base 1 to 120 matches the Rfam family "5.8S ribosomal RNA", at positions 35 to 154 of the family's 154-position model. The record is from RNAcentral.